This is a long non-coding RNA of Homo sapiens (human), 1066 nucleotides long. Ensembl annotates it as Pvt1 oncogene. Its record names the gene PVT1. NCBI's taxonomy places the organism in Eukaryota, Metazoa, Chordata, Mammalia, Primates, Hominidae. The record is from Ensembl.
ACUUGCCUGUGUGGGGCCCUGCCCUUCUCUUGAGAGGCAGGCGGGCCCUAGCUGCAGCGUCAAGGUCUGGGGAUUCUGUGGCUCUGUAGGGUGAAGGGCACUGGAGACCUACCAGGGGCUGGGCCAUUGGAGUGGUGGGUGCUGGGGAGCUUCCGUGGGCCCCUCCAGGUCCACUCCUUGCUCUUCUCUGCCUUGUUUUGUGCCCAGAAGGCUGACCUGUGUGGAUGCAUUAUCAGGGUGGAUGCAACACAGGGCUGCCAUGCUCUCUGGUAUCAGUUUGGAAGGCACUGGCAGGAUGGGAAGGCAGGCGGGGAGUGAGGUCAGGGGGCCUAUCCUUCCACUGCCUCCCUGCUGCUCCCUGACUGAUUCAGACAUCUGAAGGGUCAUCAUGGAGAAGAGGCGGCACCUUAAGGACAGCAGUGACAAUCUCUGAUGUGGCAAUUACAUAAGAGCCAGUCUUGGUGCUCUGUGUUCACCUGGUUCAUCUGAGGAGCUGCAUCUACCCUGCCCAUGCCAUAGAUCCUGCCCUGUUUGCUUCUCCUGUUGCUGCUAGUGGACAUGAGGUAACCACAGCCUAGUUCUGUGAUAAGCUCUUCACACCUGUACCCAUAUGGACUGUGGGAGAGUUUCUCUGAUAUGGACUGUGAUGCGGAAGGACAGAAUAACGGGCUCCCAGAUUCACAAGCCCCACCAAGAGGAUCACCCCAGGAACGCUUGGAGGCUGAGGAGUUCACUGAGGCUACUGCAUCUUGAGACUCAGGAUGAAGACCCAGCUUGGGGCUGUCAAAGGUUUUUUGCAUGUCUGACACCCAUGACUCCACCUGGACCUUAUGGCUCCACCCAGAAGCAAUUCAGCCCAACAGGAGGACAGCUUCAACCCAUUACGAUUUCAUCUCUGCCCCAACCACUCAGCAGCAAGCACCUGUUACCUGUCCACCCCCACCCCUUCCCCCAAACUGCCUUUGAAAAAUCCCUAACCUAUGAGCUUUGAAUAAGAUGAGUACGAACUUCAUCGCCCACGUGGCGUGGCCGGCCUCGUGUCUAUUAAAUUCUUUUUCUACUACAA